Molecule: ribosomal RNA, 257 nt
Filed under: uncultured bacterium
Lineage: Bacteria
Description: partial 16S ribosomal RNA
Rfam family: Bacterial small subunit ribosomal RNA
Source: RNAcentral
UACAGAGACCUCAAGCGUUAUCCGGAAUCAUUGGGCGUAAAGCGUACCGAUAGGUGGUUGUACAAGUCAGAAGUGAAAUCUCCGAGCUCAACUCGGAAUCUGUCUUUUGAAACUGUACGACUAGAGGGGCAAAGAGGAAGCUGGAACGAACGGUGUAGUAGUGAAAUGCGUUGAUAUCGUUCGGAACACCAAUAGCGUAGGCAGGCUUCUGGGUGCCACCUGACACUGCUAGGACGAAAGCGUGGGGAGCGAAGGGG